GAUUUCUGGACAUCAGAUUCUGGCCGGCCACGGUUUCGUGUGUUAGUGCUUGAAGCUUUGUCCAUCCUUCCAAUCGCUAUUGGCGGAUCUUCAUUGAUUCUGUCAGUAGUAUUGGAUCUUUUACUUUGAAAAAAUUAGAGUGUUUCAAGCAGGCUUUAUGCUAUGAAUACAUUAGCAUGGAAUAAUAAUUUAGGACUUCGGUUCUAUUUUGUUGGUUUCUAGGACUGAAGUAAUGAUUGAUAGGGAUAGUUGGGGGUGCUAGUAUUCAGCGGCCAGAGGUGAAAUUCUCGGAUUCGCUGAAGACUAACUUAUGCGAAAGCAUU
RNAcentral lists this ribosomal RNA (323 nucleotides) under uncultured Paracercomonas. Its description in RNAcentral is "bacterial SSU rRNA". It matches the Rfam family "Eukaryotic small subunit ribosomal RNA", at positions 634 to 955 of the family's 1831-position model. The record is from RNAcentral. Lineage: Eukaryota; Cercozoa; Cercomonadida; Cercomonadidae.